UGGGAUAUAAAGUGAACUUCCUGUGUAGA
Molecule: non-coding RNA, 29 nt
Filed under: Rattus norvegicus (Norway rat)
Lineage: Eukaryota; Metazoa; Chordata; Mammalia; Rodentia; Muridae
Source: RNAcentral